CCUACGGGGGGCUGCAGUGGGGAAUAUUGCACAAUGGGCGCAAGCCUGAUGCAGCAACGCCGCGUGAGGGACGACGGCCUUCGGGUUGUAAACCUCUUUUAGUAGGGAAGAAGCGAAAGUGACGGUACCUGCAGAAAAAGCACCGGCUAACUACGUGCCAGCAGCCGCGGUAAUACGUAGGGUGCAAGCGUUGUCCGGAAUUAUUGGGCGUAAAGAGCUCGUAGGCGGUUUGUCGCGUCUGCUGUGAAAUCUGGGGGCUCAACCCCCAGCCUGCAGUGGGUACGGGCAGACUAGAGUGCGGUAGGGGAGAUUGGAAUUCCUGGUGUAGCGGUGGAAUGCGCAGAUAUCAGGAGGAACACCGAUGGCGAAGGCAGAUCUCUGGGCCGUAACUGACGCUGAGGAGCGAAAGCAUGGGGAGCGAACAGGAUUAGA
Molecule: ribosomal RNA, 432 nt
Filed under: uncultured bacterium
Lineage: Bacteria
Description: bacterial SSU rRNA
Rfam family: Bacterial small subunit ribosomal RNA
Source: RNAcentral